ACUGAAUUUCUUGUAGAAAAAGCCAUGACCAAUUUCAAAGGAAGCUGAAUUAUGCUCAAUAUUUGCAAAAUGUCACUCCUGUAACAGCAUCAUUUAUAUAGACUUUCCUACAAAAGUUUUACUUGUAAAAGAGUGAAACUUUCCUUAAAAAUAUUGAUGAAAAGUUAAAGGAAAUUCAAGAAAGCACUCAUAGAUAACCUCUUUCACCUGGAAGAAUUACAGAAAGACAGGAAAAGCGAAGAUUUGUUCCUAGAAAUUACGAGAUUCAUGUUGAUGUAAAGAAAUUAAAUACAUUAGUCACCGUCAGUGCUACAUGUUAUGAUGUCACGCUUUGUCUCACCAACUUCUUUUUAAGACUCCCACAUGGCCAAUUGUGGAUUAAGUCCCAGAU
Long non-coding RNA from Tupaia belangeri chinensis (Chinese tree shrew), 391 nucleotides. RefSeq lists it as uncharacterized. The transcript has 3 exons. Lineage: Eukaryota; Metazoa; Chordata; Mammalia; Scandentia; Tupaiidae. The record is from RefSeq and is a predicted model, not a curated record.